GAGUUUGAUCAUGGCUCAGAUUGAACGCUGGCGGCAGGCCUAACACAUGCAAGUCGAGCGGCAGCACGGGGAGCUUGCUCCCUGGUGGCGAGCGGCGGACGGGUGAGUAAUGCAUGGGAAUCUGCCCGGUAGUGGGGGAUAACCCGGGGAAACCCGGGCUAAUACCGCAUACGUCCUACGGGAGAAAGCAGGGGAUCUUCGGACCUUGCGCUAUCGGAUGAGCCCAUGUCGGAUUAGCUUGCUGGUGAGGUAACGGCUCACCAGGGCGACGAUCCGUAGCUGGUCUGAGAGGAUGAUCAGCCACACCGGGACUGAGACACGGCCCGGACUCCUACGGGAGGCAGCAGUGGGGAAUAUUGGACAAUGGGGGAAACCCUGAUCCAGCCAUGCCGCGUGUGUGAAGAAGGCUUUCGGGUUGUAAAGCACUUUCAGCGGGGAAGAAGGCAUGGCGGCUAAUACCCGCCAUGAAGGACAUCACCCGCAGAAGAAGCACCGGCUAACUCCGUGCCAGCAGCCGCGGUAAUACGGAUGGUGCAAGCGUUAAUCGGAAUUACUGGGCGUAAAGGGCGCGUAGGCGGCCUGCCAAGCCGGAUGUGAAAGCCCCGGGCUCAACCCGGGAACGGCAUUCGGAACUGGCAGGCUAGAGUGCAGGAGAGGAAGGUGGAAUUCCCGGUGUAGCGGUGAAAUGCGUAGAGAUCGGGAGGAAUACCAGUGGCGAAGGCGGCCUUCUGGACUGACACUGACGCUGAGGCGCGAAAGCGUGGGUAGCAAACAGGAUUAGAUACCCUGGUAGUCCACGCCGUAAACGAUGUCGACCAGCCGUUGGACCCCCUGA
This 835-nucleotide ribosomal RNA is filed under the name uncultured bacterium. Its description in RNAcentral is "bacterial SSU rRNA". It matches the Rfam family "Bacterial small subunit ribosomal RNA", at positions 9 to 835 of the family's 1533-position model. The record is from RNAcentral.